CGGCCAAUAGCUCAAUCUGGUGAGAGCAGCACUCUGAUACAGUGCCGGUUGAACGUUCGAGUCGUUCUUGGCCGACCA
This 78-nucleotide transfer RNA is filed under the name Kouleothrix aurantiaca. RNAcentral describes it as "tRNA-Ile". Lineage: Bacteria; Bacillati; Chloroflexota; Chloroflexia; Chloroflexales; Roseiflexaceae. The record is from RNAcentral. RNAcentral also lists the same sequence under 1 other name.